Long non-coding RNA from Hyla sarda, 602 nucleotides. RefSeq lists it as uncharacterized. The record is from RefSeq and is a predicted model, not a curated record. The transcript is spliced from 3 exons. Lineage: Eukaryota; Metazoa; Chordata; Amphibia; Anura; Hylidae.
GGCUCCGACCCGCUGCCCCUUACGCAACCGCUCACGAAAUGUCACGUUUUUGGUGGGAAAAAUGGCUCUCAUCUUUAAAGCUCCGCCCAUCUUCAUCCCUCCUGCCAAUCAGAUUCCUGAAUAGUCAGGUUUCCAAAAGGGGCGUGCUUAAAUUCCUGUCUUCUGAUUGGCCGGCGCGGCUAGGAAAUCUAAGAAAAGACCUCUGAAGAUCUACGUUAUCAAAACGUAGCGGCGCUAGGAGGGGCUUAAAGGGGCUGAAGUCAGGGCCUUGCACCCAUGGCCUCGAGUCUGGCUCAGGCUCGCUCACUAAUGGGAUUACAGGACACCUGCCCCGGAUCCCAAGGUCGACCAUUGGAUGAAAUUUAGAAGCGUGAAGAUUUCACUAGAGUACCCCCGUCACCAACGUGUAGGAUAUCAGAUCAUGUAGAAACCUCUCUAGAAAAAUCAAUGCCUCGCCCAUACUGAAAGAAGAUCAUCAUUCUCCCCAGGGAUAGACUAAAUACUGUAGUCAUUAAAGGGGUACUCCGUGAAAAACAAUUAUUUUUUGGUGCCAGAAAGUUAAACAGAUUUGUAAAUGACCUCUAUUAAAAAAAAAUCUUAAU